GAUGAACGCUGGCGGCGUGCUUAACACAUGCAAGUCGAACGAAGCACUUUAUUUGAUUUCCUUCGGGACUGAUUAUUUUGUGACUGAGUGGCGAACGGGUGAGUAACGCGUGGGUAACCUGCCUUGUACAGGGGGAUAACAGUUGGAAACGGCUGCUAAUACCGCAUAAGCGCACAGCAUCGCAUGAUGCAGUGUGAAAAACUCCGGUGGUAUAAGAUGGACCCGCGUUGGAUUAGCUAGUUGGUGAGGUAACGGCCCACCAAGGCGACGAUCCAUAGCCGACCUGAGAGGGUGACCGGCCACAUUGGGACUGAGACACGGCCCAAACUCCUACGGGAGGCAGCAGUGGGGAAUAUUGCACAAUGGGCGAAAGCCUGAUGCAGCGACGCCGCGUGAGCGAAGAAGUAUUUCGGUAUGUAAAGCUCUAUCAGCAGGGAAGAUAAUGACGGUACCUGACUAAGAAGCACCGGCUAAAUACGUG
Molecule: ribosomal RNA, 481 nt
Filed under: uncultured bacterium
Lineage: Bacteria
Description: partial 16S ribosomal RNA
Rfam family: Bacterial small subunit ribosomal RNA
Source: RNAcentral